RNAcentral lists this non-coding RNA (25 nucleotides) under Mus musculus (house mouse). Lineage: Eukaryota; Metazoa; Chordata; Mammalia; Rodentia; Muridae. The record is from RNAcentral.
UAGGAGAAUUAGGUAGCAAUCUAUG